This 497-nucleotide ribosomal RNA is filed under the name uncultured bacterium. RNAcentral's name for it is "partial 16S ribosomal RNA". It matches the Rfam family "Bacterial small subunit ribosomal RNA", at positions 28 to 507 of the family's 1533-position model. The record is from RNAcentral.
GAUGAACGCUGGCGGCGUGCCUAAUACAUGCAAGUCGAGCGAACAGACGAGGAGCUUGCUCCUCUGACGUUAGCGGCGGACGGGUGAGUAACACGUGGAUAACCUACCUAUAAGACUGGGAUAACUUCGGGAAACCGGAGCUAAUACCGGAUAAUAUAUUGAACCGCAUGGUUCAAUAGUGAAAGACGGUUUUGCUGUCACUUAUAGAUGGAUCCGCGCCGCAUUAGCUAGUUGGUAAGGUAACGGCUUACCAAGGCAACGAUGCGUAGCCGACCUGAGAGGGUGAUCGCCCACACUGGAACUGGGACACGGUCCAGACUCCUACGGGAGGAAGCAGUAGGGAAUCUUCCGCAAUGGGCGAAAGCCUGACGGAGCAACGCCGCGUGAGUGAUGAAGGUCUUCGGAUCGUAAAACUCUGUUAUUAGGGAAGAACAAAUGUGUAAGUAACUAUGCACGUCUUGACGGUACCUAAUCAGAAAGCCACGGCUAACUACGUG